Molecule: ribosomal RNA, 901 nt
Filed under: Buliminella sp. 5041
Lineage: Eukaryota; Foraminifera; Rotaliida; Buliminellidae
Description: SSU rRNA
Rfam family: Eukaryotic small subunit ribosomal RNA
Source: RNAcentral
UGGGCUUAAUUUGACUCAACGCGGGAAAUCUUACCGGGUCCGGACACACUGAGGAUUGACAGGUGUUAUCGUAUUAUGCUUCGGCAUGAUACGUGUUAAAUAUGCUAGUCCUUUCAUGAUUAUGUGAUAGGUGGUGCAUGGCCGUUCUUAGUUCGUGGAGUGAUCUGUCUGCUUAAUUGCGUUUCACUACGAAUCCGCGCAUUAAACGUACGCUCGUGAGAUGGUUUGACCCCUGACCUCGGUCAGUCGCGUGUCUCGCCAUCAUACUCACAGCGUGCUAAGUGGAUUCCAGAAAGCAACGAACGUGACCGCAACCUCUUGUUGCCUGUAACCACCAGAAAGUUCUCUUUCUGACAAACAGGCCAUUUAUAAUAAACUAGAGGGACCGCUGUCAACUCCUUAAACCAGAGGAAGGUUGCGGCAAUAACAGGUCUGUGAUGCCCUUAGAUGUUCCGGGCUGCACACGUGCUACAAUGAUUAUUGCAGUGAGCAUCUCAUACUAUACAUCGCAGCGUAAGUGCUUUAAACUUCGGUUUAUUGCUACUUUUUGCGCGAUAAAGCCUGCUUCGAAAGUAAGUGGGUAAUCAAUUAGAAGUAAUGAUUUCCCUUUUUAUGCACAAAAAUGUUCGGCACUGCUUCCCUGUUUGUCUUAUUGACAUCUGUGUGUUUGUAGUGAGUCUUUUUUGACUUUUUACCGUUCGUGCAAUUGUCAAUUCAUGGUGGGGACAGACCAUUGUUAAUUGUUGGUCUCGGUCUUAACUAGGAAUGCCUUGUACGGGUCUUUGGUUCAACAAACCACCCGGAAUACGUCCCUGCCCUUUGUACACACCGCCCGUCGCUCUUACCGAUGGAUUUCUCUGUGAGUUUGAAGGACUGGCUCUUACGUGGCUAUGAAAUCAAA